Molecule: ribosomal RNA, 633 nt
Filed under: uncultured bacterium
Lineage: Bacteria
Description: bacterial SSU rRNA
Rfam family: Bacterial small subunit ribosomal RNA
Source: RNAcentral
CAAAGGCUUCGGCCGGUAAAGGAUGGGGAUGCGUCUGAUUAGCUUGCCGGCGGGGUAACGGCCCACCGGGGCGACGAUCAGUAGGGGUUCUGAGAGGAAGGUCCCCCACAUUGGAACUGAGACACGGUCCAAACUCCUACGGGAGGCAGCAGUGAGGAAUAUUGGUCAAUGGGCGCGAGCCUGAACCAGCCAAGUAGCGUGCAGGACGACGGCCCUAUGGGUUGUAAACUGCUUUUAUACGGGGAUAAAGUAUGCCACGUGUGGUUUAUUGCAGGUACCGUAUGAAUAAGGACCGGCUAAUUCCGUGCCAGCAGCCGCGGUAAUACGGAAGGUCCGGGCGUUAUCCGGAUUUAUUGGGUUUAAAGGGAGCGUAGGCCGGGUUUUAAGCGUGCCGUGAAAUGUCGGGGCUCAACCUUGACACUGCGGCGCGAACUGGAGUCCUUGAGUGCGCGGAACGUAUGCGGAAUUCGUGGUGUAGCGGUGAAAUGCUUAGAUAUCACGAAGAACCCCGAUUGCGAAGGCAGCAUACGGCAGCGCUACUGACGCUGAAGCUCGAAGGCGCGGGUAUCGAACAGGAUUAGAUACCCUGGUAGUCCGCGCGGUAAACGAUGGAUGCCCGCUGUUGGCGAUAUA